UACAGAGACUGCAAGCGUUAUUCGGAUUCACUGGGCGUAAAGGGUGCGCAGGCGGCCGUGUGUGUCAGAUGUGAAAGCCCGGGGCUUAACCCCGGAACUGCGUCUGAAACUACACGGCUAGAGCAUUGGAGAGGGAAGUGGAAUUCAUGGUGUAGCAGUGAAAUGCGUAGAUAUCAUGAGGAACACCAGAGGCGAAGGCGACUUCCUGGACAAUAGCUGACGCUCAGGCACGAAAGCGUGGGUAGCAAAAGGG
This 253-nucleotide ribosomal RNA is filed under the name uncultured bacterium. RNAcentral's name for it is "partial 16S ribosomal RNA". It matches the Rfam family "Bacterial small subunit ribosomal RNA", at positions 524 to 776 of the family's 1533-position model. The record is from RNAcentral.